UACGUAGGUGGCAAGCGUUGUCCGGAAUUAUUGGGCGUAAAGCGCGCGCAGGCGGUCCUUUAAGUCUGAUGUGAAAGCCCACGGCUCAACCGUGGAGGGUCAUUGGAAACUGGGGGACUUGAGUACAGAAGAGAAGAGUGGAAUUCCAUGUGUAGCGGUGAAAUGCGUAGAGAUGUGGAGGAACACCAGUGGCGAAGGCGACUCUGCGGUCUGUAACUGACGCUGAGGCGCGAAAGCGUGGGGAGCAAACAGG
Molecule: ribosomal RNA, 253 nt
Filed under: uncultured bacterium
Lineage: Bacteria
Description: partial 16S ribosomal RNA
Rfam family: Bacterial small subunit ribosomal RNA
Source: RNAcentral